RNAcentral lists this ribosomal RNA (393 nucleotides) under Stramenopiles sp. MAST-10. RNAcentral's name for it is "partial small subunit ribosomal RNA". It matches the Rfam family "Eukaryotic small subunit ribosomal RNA", at positions 582 to 975 of the family's 1831-position model. The record is from RNAcentral.
AUUCCAGCUCCAAUAGCGUAUAUUAAAGUUGUUGCAGUUAAAAAGCUCGUAGUUGGAUUUCUGGCGGGAGCGACCGGUCGGCGCUUAACGGCGUGUGCACUGGAGUUGUCUCUUGCCAUCCUUGAGGAGAACGUGUCUGGCAUUAAGUUGUCGGGCUUGGGAUCCUCAUCGUUUACUGUGAAAAAAUUAGAGUGUUUAAAGCAGGCAUUUGCUGUGAAUACAUUAGCAUGGAAUAAUAAGAUAGGACUUUGGUGCUAUUUUGUUGGUUUGCGUACCAAGGUAAUGAUUAAUAGGGAUAGUUGGGGGUAUUCGUAUUCAAUUGUCAGAGGUGAAAUUCUUGGAUUUAUGGAAGACGAACAACUGCGAAAGCAUUUACCAAGGAUGUUUUCAUUG